Molecule: signal recognition particle RNA, 265 nt
Filed under: Clostridiales bacterium
Lineage: Bacteria; Bacillati; Bacillota; Clostridia; Eubacteriales
Also listed under: 5 other names
Description: signal recognition particle sRNA large type
Rfam family: Bacterial large signal recognition particle RNA
About the family: The signal recognition particle (SRP) is a universally conserved ribonucleoprotein involved in the co-translational targeting of proteins to membranes. Archaeal SRP consists of a 7S RNA and homologues of the eukaryotic SRP19 and SRP54 proteins. In most bacteria, the SRP consists of a 4.5S RNA and the Ffh protein (a homologue of the eukaryotic SRP54 protein).
Source: RNAcentral
CCGCACUAGUCGGGGAGAUAGCGGUGCCCUAUACCCGCAAUCCGCUACAGCGGGGAUGAAUCCCGGCCCCCGGACGUGUAAUGUGUCGUCUGCCCUGGAUAAGCAGUGAUGAUAGACCGGUCCCGCGCAACGGGGUCCCGUGAACCGUGUCAGGCGGGGAACCGAGCAGCACUAAGCGGUCCGCUCCGUGUGCCGUGGGGUCACUGUUCUUGAGCCGGCUGUCCAGGUAACGGGCAUAUUUCACGCUUCAAAGGCCGGUGUGCGG